CCUACGGGCGGCAGCAGUGAGGAAUAUUGGUCAAUGGACGCAAGUCUGAACCAGCCAAGCCGCGUGCAGGAAGACGGCCCUAUGAGUUGUAAACCGCUUUUGUAAGAGAGCAAACGCAGGUACGUGUACCCGGCUGCGAGUACCUUACGAAUAAGCAUCGGCUAACUCCGUGCCAGCAGCCGCGGUAAUACGGAGGAUUCAAGCGUUAUCCGGAUUUAUUGGGUUUAAAGGGGGCGUAGGCGGUCGUAUAAGUUAGCGGUCAAAUCCCGAGGGUCAACCUCGGGAUGGCCUCUGAAACUGGUCGGCUAGAGAGUGGUAGCAGUAGGCGGAAUGUGUGGUGUAGCGGUGAAAUGCUUAGAGAUCACACAGAACUCCGAUUGCGAAGGCAGCAUACCGGGCCACAUCUGACGCUGAGGCACGAAAGCGUGGGUAGCGAACAGGAUUAGAUACCCCUGUAGUC
Molecule: ribosomal RNA, 460 nt
Filed under: uncultured bacterium
Lineage: Bacteria
Description: partial 16S ribosomal RNA
Rfam family: Bacterial small subunit ribosomal RNA
Source: RNAcentral